Aureimonas ureilytica is the source of this 112-nucleotide non-coding RNA. NCBI's taxonomy places the organism in Bacteria, Pseudomonadati, Pseudomonadota, Alphaproteobacteria, Hyphomicrobiales, Aurantimonadaceae. The record is from Rfam.
UCCCGGUCUCCAUAGCCGGGAAUUCUGUAGAGGCACACCUUCCUUGCCUGAAGUGCGGCGGGUCCAACCCUCCAAGCCAUGGCACAAUCUUCCGCUCUCGUUCGGCCGUCCG